UGUGGUCCUACACAGAGCAAGAAGGACUAUC
RNAcentral lists this non-coding RNA (31 nucleotides) under Rattus norvegicus (Norway rat). Lineage: Eukaryota; Metazoa; Chordata; Mammalia; Rodentia; Muridae. The record is from RNAcentral.